GGGCCAUUAGCUCAAUUGGUUAGAGCAGAUCCCUCUUAAGGAUAAGGUUCUCGGUUCGAUUCCGAGAUGGCCCA
Non-coding RNA from Elusimicrobia bacterium GWA2_66_18, 74 nucleotides. NCBI's taxonomy places the organism in Bacteria, Pseudomonadati, Elusimicrobiota. The record is from Rfam.